UCCGAGUUGACCCCGGCAGUCUUCGAUGAGUCCCCGCCAUAACGCGCUGGCAACAUCGAACGAGGGUUGCGCUCGUUGCGGGACUUAACCCAACAUCUCACGACACGAGCUGACGACAGCCAUGCAGCACCUGUGUUCUGGCUCUCUUUCGAGCACUCCCGCAUCUCUGCAGGAUUCCAGACAUGUCAAGGGUAGGUAAGGUUUUUCGCGUUGCAUCGAAUUAAACCACAUCAUCCACCGCUUGUGCGGGUCCCCGUCAAUUCCUUUGAGCUUCAACCUUGCGGCCGUACUCCCCAGGCGGUCAACUUCACGCGUUAGCUACGUUACCAAGCCUAAUAAGGCCCGACAACUAGUUGACAUAGUUUAGGGCGUGGACUAC
This 379-nucleotide unclassified non-coding RNA is filed under the name uncultured Gammaproteobacteria bacterium. Its description in RNAcentral is "contains 16S-23S intergenic spacer region". The record is from RNAcentral. Lineage: Bacteria; Pseudomonadati; Pseudomonadota; Gammaproteobacteria.